UGAGCGCAAACACAGAGUUCUCAUAAUCUAUGAAAAUUUCCUGGAAGACAUUCAGCGGCUGCUGACCAUGCUGGAGGGCAUUUUGCCGGAGGGAGCAGUGGACCCGCCAUGUCCUGCCACCGGUGACGGACAGCAGCGGUCCAUGUGGUCUUCAGCAGAGCUGCCGCCGGGGCCGGAGUCGACUCCGCUCCCAGGGCGCGCGUGCGCCGUCGGCGCUCCAUCCGUCUCGUCCCCCCGUCGCGACGCCGGGUCACACCUGGUGACGGUGCUGGCCCCGGCGGAGGCCUCUCCGUCGUUCCUGCCCGCCCCGGCCACUGCCGUCGGUGGCACUGCCCCCGCCCUGCCCUUGGU
This is a long non-coding RNA of Pollicipes pollicipes, 351 nucleotides long. RefSeq lists it as uncharacterized. NCBI's taxonomy places the organism in Eukaryota, Metazoa, Arthropoda, Thecostraca, Pollicipedomorpha, Pollicipedidae. The record is from RefSeq and is a predicted model, not a curated record. The transcript is spliced from 3 exons.